CAUACUGGGCAGUAUGUAGUUGCUUACUUUUACUUCUAAUAGCGGUAAAUGUCCCCUAAACAAAGAUAAUGUUGAUGUAUAAAUUCAUCUCUUCCCAGAGAUUUUCUUUGCACAGGGUCUCUAAACAGCUUAUUUCACCUUUGUUUCUAGAGUAGAAAAAUCCCCUGCCGAGUUCAUAACAUGUCACUCAAAUUGCACUUCUUGAUUAAGCUUCAUGAUUAUUGUCUGUCUGGUUUUGUCUAGUCUGCCAUGCAUAACUCUGAGUGCUUAUUAUGUUUAUUCUUCCUGCUCUCAGUGGUUAUUUGCGGUGUUUUAGGAAAGAACAGGAUGUUUUGUUCCUGCUUCCUAACUGUCCAGGUCACACAGUCUCACUCAUUAUGGGUCUCUGAUUGGGGUUGAUUACAGAAACAUGUCAGAUUUGAUUGCUUCUGUCUGGGAAAUGUACGAUGAGAGACGUGUUCAGGAGUAGUCGAGAACAUAUCAUAACCUUUAGCUUCCUCGUGUCUUUUUUUUUUUAACCAAACUGUGGAAGCAUUACUGAUAACAGAGCAGAUUUUUUUUGAUGUUGUUGUUUUUUUUUACUUUUUUAAUGUGUAAAUACAAAGUUGUUCAAGUGCAGCCAUUGUUAGACGUGUAAAACUAUUCAUUCCACUCAGCACAGCGCGUUCACUGAGUACCUGCUUCAGCUAAAGAACGGGUAUCCACAUAUGCACAUACUUUGGCAAGUUCUUGCAAAUGUUACGUUUACACAUUUCAUCUUACACUUUGAUAGAUAUCUAUGCAUGUGUAUAGGCAUGCAUUAUAAGUGAAGGUAUAAGCGGCGCCCUGCAGCAAAUGCUUUUAACCUUGGCUAAUAUCUGUCUGCAGCAGCUUAUUGGCAGUAAAAUGUGUUAGCAUUUUACCUUAAUACUGUGAAAUAGAAGACUUUACAUAAUGUAAAAUGACAGGGACAUAUUUUUGAUCAGUAAACAAUCAGCCUCUUACUCAGUAAAAUAAACAAGUCCCAACAGCUGGGUUACACCUCACAGGACUGUUGCUAAUAAUCCAAAAAUUAUUAGAUGUCAGCUUACAAACUUGUGCGUGACAGCUCACCUGUAGAAAAGUACACAAUGUCAUCU
Long non-coding RNA from Astatotilapia calliptera (eastern happy), 1118 nucleotides. Lineage: Eukaryota; Metazoa; Chordata; Actinopteri; Cichliformes; Cichlidae. The record is from Ensembl.